This 82-nucleotide transfer RNA is filed under the name Reichenbachiella agarivorans. RNAcentral's name for it is "Reichenbachiella sp. BKB1-1 tRNA-Leu". It matches the Rfam family "tRNA". From Rfam's summary of the family: Transfer RNA (tRNA) molecules are approximately 80 nucleotides in length. Their secondary structure includes four short double-helical elements and three loops (D, anti-codon, and T loops). Lineage: Bacteria; Pseudomonadati; Bacteroidota; Cytophagia; Cytophagales; Reichenbachiellaceae. The record is from RNAcentral.
GCCCAGGUGGCGGAACUGGUAGACGCGCUAGACUCAAACUCUAGUGACUUCGGUCGUACCGGUUCGAUUCCGGUCUUGGGUA